GAUGAACGCUAGCGGCAGGCCUAAUACAUGCAAGUCGAACGGGAUUCCAGUGUAGCUUGCUAUACUGGAUGAGAGUGGCGCACGGGUGCGUAACGCGUGAGCAACCUACCCAUAUCAGGGGGAUAGCCCGGAGAAACCCGGAUUAAUACCGCAUAAGAUUACCAGAACGGCAUCGUUCAGUGAUCAAAUAUUUAUAGGAUAUGGAUGGGCUCGCGUGACAUUAGCUAGUUGGUAAGGUAACGGCUUACCAAGGCAACGAUGUCUAGGGGCUCUGAGAGGAGAAUCCCCCACACUGGUACUGAGACACGGACCAG
This 314-nucleotide ribosomal RNA is filed under the name uncultured bacterium. RNAcentral's name for it is "bacterial SSU rRNA". It matches the Rfam family "Bacterial small subunit ribosomal RNA", at positions 28 to 334 of the family's 1533-position model. The record is from RNAcentral.